GUUCUUGUCUGACUGUCUUAUUUCAGAAAGGCAGCCAUCAAGCUCUGAGAUUCUUUCCUCCACUUGGUCUAUUCUGCUACUAAUACUUCUCAGCCCAGUUCAGAACUCCUGUUGGAGAGAUGAUUCAGCUGUUUGCAGGAAAAAAGGCCCUCUGACUUUUCUCGAGUAUAAAGAAGAGGAUGAAGGCUUAAGCAGGAAACUUUGACAGCUCCAAAGACCUUAAUCCUUAUAAAGAAGUAAUGAAGUUUCAACUUUGCACUCAGGUUUUCAAGAAACCUUUGCAACUUUAACAUAGCAUUUUGAGGAGUAAAAGUGACACCUGGAAAAAGCCAUCCUUGAGAACUAACUCCCCACAAACUGAUCAGAUGUCACAACUGUGAUUUUUCUUCAGAGAGAGCAAAACUAUGGGUUAAGAUGUGUUUGGAAGGCAGAAAUCUGACCAAGAGUCUGUCAUGAGGAGCAGACAUACAGAAGAAUGAUUCACAAGAAGACCUCCUUUCUGUGCAUUGAACAUCUAUCCACAGAGCACAUCUUCAUUACUAGGGGAGAGCAUCCAUCAGCUGACAUGGUGGUGGCAGCAUGGUCACAACUGAGGUGCGGCUUCAGAAAGGAGAGCUUUUCAAUAGUUAGAUUAUUACAGGGCCCAACUAAAUGCCUCAAAUUCCCAGGAAUGUAGAUAAUAACAAUUAUGCCUCUUUCUCUCUUUUCCUCACAGACAAAAAGGUAACUUAUGUUGCAUAAUUAUAAAAAAUUCCAAAAUAAAAAUUUGAAAUAUACAGGACACUUCAAAUAAUACAUCUACAUGUUUUGAAUCAUCUUCCUAAAGCCCAAAUAUUGUUGUUGUGUACCCAGGCACAGUAGGGAGCUGAUCAUUACAAAUGACAGCAACAACAUUUUAAAAUUAUAAAUCUUAAGAAUAUUUAAAUAAAUGUAUAGCAACUAAUAAAAUUGAAAGCAAAAUGUAUACUAACUUAAUUUAUAUUUUAUUAGCAGAUAUUUGUCUUUUAAAACUGUUUAUUAGUAAAUUUAAAUUAUGUAAAAUUUUGCAUGUAUAUCUUAGGAUGGCAGAUAUAUCUUGAGGUCAUAUUAUUCCCCUUAUUUGCAGGUAGAGUCAAAUAUCCAUUUUUUUGUUGGCUUCUCAUCCUACUGACUUUGUAUUAACUUGACUUGUAUUCAUUAUUUAAAUUAAAAAUGAAAUGGAAAUUCCAUAAUGGGAAUUACCUCCCAUUGUUAGAUUUAAGUUUCAGUCAACAGAAUCUCUCAUUUUCAUCAAGAAAUUUUUUAAACGCGUGGGCACAAUAUUCCUAUUCUUUCUUUUAAAAACUCAACUCCUGCACUUCAGCUUAAGCAACAGAGUUAAGACCCUGUCUUAAAAAACAAAACAAAACAAAAUAAAACUCUACUCCAUCAUAAUUUUGUGAGUGAAUCUACAUCAGCUUAUAGCUUCAGAACAUAUAAUGUUUCUACCAUCAAGAUUAGCUAGACUGAAUUUGGCCAAUUCAGUGCAGCAUUCUCUGCUGAGUUUAAUUCAAUUAUGGAUAAGAAUUCAGUCAUAGUCUUGGAAAAAAUGACAAGAAAAUCUUCUGAUUUUGUAGGAUAAAAACAUGCUUUUGAAAAAUACAAACUAUAUUUUCUACCUCCUUCCUUUAUAGUUAACUCAGGCUCUACUUAAGUCCAUUAUGUUUUAUUUUUUGCCUGAUUAUUAUACUAACAAUUUUUUCUUUCAAAUAUUGCCCACAGAAUUAUUUCUGAAUUUAUUUCGAUGCUGAUAUGCCACAAAGAAGGAAUCACACUGAUUGUGCUGCAAAGUAAAAUAAAAAAGUGAGCAUAAAUGACCCUUUAUUGAGCUUUUAAUAUAGCCUAGUGCCCUUGCUCUGCUACACGUUUCUCUCCAAGCCAUGUGAGGAGUCCACUCUAUGUAAGAACACAUGGAGGUGAAUUAUAUGAAAUCAGGAGUUUAGACUAAGCAAGAGACAAAAUCAUGAGAAAUGGUUAAUUGCUCUUCUUUCUAAGUAAACAAAAAACAAUAAAUGUCAUCAAGGCUAUCUCUCUUUCCUUAAAGUUAUAUUUGUUAUUAGCAUACUUCUGAUAUAAACUGGUUUUCCUUUCAGAGAAGCGUAAUCAUUGGAGGAAAUGUUUGUCUUUGGGAAAAAAAAGAAAAAAACGGGAAGUUGUACUUCAGGAAAAAAUUAGUCCUCAGAAAAAGGGAACAAUAUGUCUGCAUUUUUGGCUAUUGUUUCAGCUUAUGUACAUGUUUCUGCUUACCUUCUUGAAAGAGAAACAAGUUAUUCAAUGUUACGUAUGAAUCAAAGAUCAGAUUACUCAGAAUCCUGAAAAAUAAAUUGUGACUGUACAUAUUCUUUAUCCAUUUUUAGUAAAUGCAUGUAUUUUUAUACAGUUAUGCAUCCUGAUCUGUUGCCAUUCAAUGUUGUUUUGUACAAUUUAUAGAUAUCACCACAGGUUUUGUGAGAUUGACAAGCAAUCUAAAAAUAAAUGAUUCACGGAUGAGUGUUCAA
Homo sapiens (human) is the source of this 2516-nucleotide long non-coding RNA. Ensembl annotates it as long intergenic non-protein coding RNA 1378. Lineage: Eukaryota; Metazoa; Chordata; Mammalia; Primates; Hominidae. The record is from Ensembl.